UCCCUGCUAGUCCAAUAGGUAGGACUCAGUGCUUUUAGUGCUGAGGGCCCAGGUUCAAUCCCUGGUCAGGGAA
RNAcentral lists this transfer RNA (73 nucleotides) under Bos taurus (domestic cattle). It matches the Rfam family "tRNA". Rfam says of the family: Transfer RNA (tRNA) molecules are approximately 80 nucleotides in length. Their secondary structure includes four short double-helical elements and three loops (D, anti-codon, and T loops). Lineage: Eukaryota; Metazoa; Chordata; Mammalia; Artiodactyla; Bovidae. The record is from Rfam by way of RNAcentral. RNAcentral also lists the same sequence under 5 other names.